This 92-nucleotide transfer RNA is filed under the name subsurface metagenome. RNAcentral's name for it is "tRNA-Ser". It matches the Rfam family "tRNA". Rfam says of the family: Transfer RNA (tRNA) molecules are approximately 80 nucleotides in length. Their secondary structure includes four short double-helical elements and three loops (D, anti-codon, and T loops). Further hydrogen bonds mediate the characteristic L-shaped molecular structure. tRNAs have two regions of fundamental functional importance: the anti-codon, which is responsible for specific mRNA codon recognition, and the 3' end, to which the tRNAs corresponding amino acid is attached (by aminoacyl-tRNA synthetases). tRNAs cope with the degeneracy of the genetic code in two manners: having more than one tRNA (with a specific anti-codon) for a particular amino acid; and 'wobble' base-pairing, i.e. permitting non-standard base-pairing at the 3rd anti-codon position. The record is from RNAcentral.
GGAGGGAUCGCAUAGUGGUCUAGUGCGGGCGCCUGCUAAGCGCUUACCUUGGGAAACCGGGGUCGAGGGUUCGAAUCCCUCUCCCUCCGCCA